CUUGCCCUUCUGGCUCAUUUUCCUCCUCUUGGCGGCCUCCUCCUGGUCCUCCUCCCUCAUCUGCUUAUUGGUGGCCCUAGUCACAUCCAGCUGAGGCUUCUUGCUGUUCAUGACACGAAGCAGCUCCAACUGGUUCUUUUUCUCGGCUGCAAAGUCCCCGAAAAGGGGUUGAAACUUCCUUUUCUUGCCGGAGCCCCGGGGCACCUUCUCCUUGGGGAGGCGCUCCUGAAAGCGCCCCACAGAGGCGGUGGAGACCUUGGCCACUUGCAUGGCGCGGCCCAGCUCCUCCUUACUCUGGUGUCCGGUAGGGUGCAAGCCGGCCGCGCUGGGCAGCUGCAUCUUGUGCGCGCGGGCCAGGUUACGCAGCCGGUUCAGCUCGUUCUUGGCCACCCUUUCCUUCUUGGCCUGAAUCCGCUUGGCGAACUGGUCCUCCAAGGGGUCGGCAUUGCCGGGCACCUCAAUCAGCCAUUCUUUGGUGUCGUCCCGGGCGCGCUGGUAGCCCCAGCGCCGCCGCCACUGGCCACUCACCUCGUCCCACACCAGAGACAGAAACUGAAAACCAUGGUUUCAGGCUGCUAAAAACCUAACAUGAAACAAAACAGAAGAACAACAACAACAAAAUAAGGAAGAGUGACCUAUGGGAUCCAUGGAGGAGCUGCUUCCUGAAUCUGUGUAAAGUAGAUCUUGCCGUGUGGGUAACUGUGACUGCGGUGGCCAUGAAGAGGCACAACUCAGACCUCGGAUCUCCUGCUGCAGAGAACAUUGACUGACAGCCCAGCAGCUCCUGUCUGGAUCUACCACCUGUUCACAAUUCUGAAAUACAUUCAACGCACACUUUCCUACUGAGAUUUCUAAAAUGGGACUUGGAAAACAGAAAAAUACGUAAGCAUCCUCUUUCAGGCCAGUAAAGUGGGGUACUAUCAUCUAAAUCUCCAAAAAGGUCAUUCAACUCUGAUCCCUGUUUAAAGAGAGAAAAAAGGAAUAAAGGAGCCUUUGAAGGCAGAAUAUUGCUCACUCAUCUCUUUGAAAGGACCUCAGACUGCAGAGCAGAAGAACCACUGGCUACAUCAGCUGGGGCAGAGGGGGAUGAAGAGAACAUCAUGAUGCCUGCAAAAAAGUGGGCUCUGCAGGAUCUCCAGUCACCUCCCUUCCCUUCAGAUCCAGAGCUCUCUCUGGCUAGGACCUUCCAGAGUUCCAGAAUUUUUGUUCCACCUUCCAUUGCUCACUUCUAUUACUAUUACUAAGAUAUUCACAUGGAAUUCUGUGCAAACCAUUUUUUUUUUCUUUUGGUGCCCUCUUUGUUUUACUUCCUCUAUUGGGACUAAUGGCCAUCUGACUUGGGGGUCCUUU
RNAcentral lists this long non-coding RNA (1350 nucleotides) under Homo sapiens (human). RNAcentral describes it as "non-protein coding RRS1-AS1:9". The record is from RNAcentral. Lineage: Eukaryota; Metazoa; Chordata; Mammalia; Primates; Hominidae.